GUCUACAGCCAUACCACCCUGAACGUGUGAGAUCUCCUCUGAUCUCGGAAGCCAAGCAGGGUAGGACCUUGUUCGUAUUUGGAUGGAGACUGCCUGGGAAUACCGGGUGCUGCAGACU
Ribosomal RNA from Rhinopithecus bieti (black snub-nosed monkey), 118 nucleotides. NCBI's taxonomy places the organism in Eukaryota, Metazoa, Chordata, Mammalia, Primates, Cercopithecidae. The record is from Ensembl.